AACGAACGCUGGCGGCAGGCCUAACACAUGCAAGUCGAACGGGUGUAGCAAUACAUCAGUGGCGCACGGGUGAGUAACACGUGGGAACGUGCCCUUCACUACGGGACAACGUCGCGAAACUGACGCUAAUACCGUAUAAUGUCUCCGGACCACAGAUUUAUCGGUGAAGGAUCGGCCCGCGUCUGAUUAGCUAGUUGGUGAGGUAAUGGCUCACCAAGGCGACGAUCAGUAGCUGGUUUGAGAGAAUGACCAGCCACACUGGGACUGAGACACGGCCCAGACUCCUACGGGAGGCAGCAGUGAGGAAUCUUGGACAAUGGGCGCAAGCCUGAUCCAGCCAUGCCGCGUGAGUGAUGAAGGCCUUAGGGUUGUAAAGCUCUUUUGCCGGGGAUGAUAAUGACCGUACCCGGGGAAUAAGCCACGGCUAAAUUCGUGCCAGCCGCCGCCGUAA
Molecule: ribosomal RNA, 451 nt
Filed under: uncultured bacterium
Lineage: Bacteria
Description: partial 16S ribosomal RNA
Rfam family: Bacterial small subunit ribosomal RNA
Source: RNAcentral